RNAcentral lists this ribosomal RNA (257 nucleotides) under uncultured bacterium. Its description in RNAcentral is "partial 16S ribosomal RNA". It matches the Rfam family "Bacterial small subunit ribosomal RNA", at positions 99 to 354 of the family's 1533-position model. The record is from RNAcentral.
CGGACGGGUGAGUAACGCGUGAGUAACCUGCCUUUCAGAGGGGGAUAACAUCCUGAAAAGGAUGCUAAUACCGCAUAACAUCUUUUUAUCGCAUGGUAGAGAGAUCAAAGGAGCAAUCCGCUGAAAGAUGGACUCGCGUCCGAUUAGCCAGUUGGCGGGGUAACGGCCCACCAAAGCGACGAUCGGUAGCCGGACUGAGAGGUUGAACGGCCACAUUGGGACUGAGACACGGCCCAGACUCCUACGGGAGGCAGCAG